CCAGAAUAGAACAGCAGGGAAUAUCCCUUGCAUAUUUACAGAAAUAUUCUACUUACUGCAGAACAUCCAGACAUCAUUUUCAGACUACAAGAUUGACAUUAAUCAGAAAACCAUGCAUGUAAACGUGGCCAGUGUUAGUUUGCUGCAACUUGCAUGCUGUUGUGUUAAGGUGUGCAAGCAGUGUGACAUCUGUCGCAUUCUAGAAGUCAUGAUUUAUCUUUAUCUCACUGGAGAACAUUGUAACUUCCCAAUACCUCUGCUGCAAGUCUGAACGGAGGGAGAACAAAUACGUCCUGACAACUUUCAGUUCAGUUUAAUUAUUGAGCAAGUGAAAAGACACAGUGUCUCCAGUAGAUUCACUCAUCAAGCAAAUGCACACAGAAACACUGACAGAGACUAACAGUAGGAAAUGGCAUGAUCAAGAAGAUAAUAAAUCCAUAUUUACUGUAUGGUAAAAUACAGCAUGUUCUUAUCAUCACAUCCAAUCUGCUCUAAAUGAGAAACAGCACAGUCAAAUAGUAAUGAUAACUGUCCAUUACAGAAAGCUAAGACAGACAUAUCUAACACUCAAUGUAAAAAAUUCUAGUCAUAAAUUAUUUGUUAUGAGUUAUCUGGUGAGUGAACCAUAGCCUAUGUAAUUUCCACAUUCAACAUUCAACUGCAGGAAGACAAAAGAAGUUAUUUUAAGAGAACCAGUCACGUAAUGCACACUCAAGAACAGACCUCAAAGAACCUUUUCCUCAUUCAACUUUUACAAUAAAAGAAUAACAGUAAUUCUGGUGACUUUGGUUUUGAAGUCCAGUCAGCAAAGGUCACACAAAGCAACAAUCUCUUAAUGUGGAUGAAAGUUAGGCAGCUGAAUCUAAUACAGUGCAUUAAAAGGAAACAUUUAUGUUAAAUAUUGUAUAUGGUCCCUUUCCAAAUAAAUAAAACUAAAACUAAACUGAGACUGUAGCCAGAGCCCGAGCUUGUGAAGUAAAAGAUCCAUGGAGGUCCACAACAGUUUCCAGAUGUUAUCUUAAAAUGGAAAAGGGCCCAGAUUGCCGUAUGGAGGUUAUAAAUACAUACAUUUAUAUCCCACAUAAUUAAAGAUUUAUUUUCCAUCAUAAAAAAGGAAACCUUCACGAAUACAGAAAUACAAUAAAGCAAUAAACAUUAACUGAACAACAUAAAAUGUAUCAUAAAACCCUUAUGGUAACUGAUCUAAAAAAUAAUGUGAAAUGUAACUAUUUUAAGUAAAAAUGUGUCAUGCAGAGAUUUUUUUAGAACAGUUUUUCAUUAUAUAUUAUAAGGUGCCUAGUUUUUACUUGCAAUAUUUUGCUUUAAAGGAGUAAACACAUCGUGUAUAAUAUAGAUUUUACAUUAUUAUUUUUUACAUUAUUUUUUAUAUAAAAUUAUAGGCUUUUUUUAUCAUAUAUAUAGUAAAGUAACAAUAUAAAUUAUUCGAAAUUAUAUAAACCAAAGGUCAAUAUGUGCAGAUUAUUGCAAACUAAUACAACAAAACCCGUUUGUUUUUAAAUUAUGCAUCAAACAAUUGCUUGUAACACAAUAAUAAAUCCCGUAUUAUUAUUGCACUUUAACAUAAGGCGCAAUAGAAAAAUAAAUCACAAUAUAAUACUGAUUAAAUAAAAUGAUCAGUCGCCCAUUUUAAAUAAGCAAAGUCAGAGCAGAAGAAGGACAUUCGCACUGAUAAAUGUGCUGUGUUGGGACAGUUUGCAUAGUGCAUUAGAAACAGCUGGAACAGCUUCUUUCAGUUACACGUGAUUGAAUCCAGAAGCAGUCUCUGUCCUUGUGAACUAUCCGCGAAGGCACGAGCCGUUUGUCUUCGUGGCGUUGUUGUGACUGUCUGGGGUCCAGAAGAGCACGUAGUAGAUGGCUAAGAAGAAAGCUGCGACUGAAACACACAGAAAGUAAGCGAUGCCCAUCGCUACUUUCACCCAGAUCUUCGUGGCUCUGUUCGCGUGCUUCACCCUCUGGUCUCCGGGGUAACUUGGUCUCAGCUCCGCUCCUCCGUUAGUCCUGCCGGUGCUGACGGGUUUGUCUCCUCUCAUUCUGAGAUGACGGAUAUUCCUGAUAUUUCCAGCGGUCAGUGUGUGUCUGCUGCGAAUGCCCUGAUCCAGGUGACUGGAUCCCUGCACUCCUCUGAGGGAUGCUAGUGUUCCUGCACCAUCAGAGUGAUUCUCAUGCCAGAUGCACACUAGAUUUAAUUGAAC
Long non-coding RNA from Cyprinus carpio carpio, 2213 nucleotides. The record is from Ensembl. NCBI's taxonomy places the organism in Eukaryota, Metazoa, Chordata, Actinopteri, Cypriniformes, Cyprinidae.